RNAcentral lists this ribosomal RNA (266 nucleotides) under uncultured Rhodopseudomonas sp. RNAcentral's name for it is "partial 16S ribosomal RNA". It matches the Rfam family "Bacterial small subunit ribosomal RNA", at positions 63 to 354 of the family's 1533-position model. The record is from RNAcentral. Lineage: Bacteria; Pseudomonadati; Pseudomonadota; Alphaproteobacteria; Hyphomicrobiales; Nitrobacteraceae.
CGAACGGGCGUAGCAAUACGUCAGUGGCAGACGGGUGAGUAACACGUGGGAACGUACCUUUUGGUUCGGAACAACUGAGGGAAACUUCAGCUAAUACCGGAUAAGCCCUAACGGGAAAGAUUUAUCGCCGAAAGAUCGGCCCGCGUCUGAUUAGCUAGUUGGUGGGGUAAUGGCCCACCAAGGCGACGAUCAGUAGCUGGUCUGAGAGGAUGAUCAGCCACAUUGGGACUGAGACACGGCCCAAACUCCUACGGGAGGCAGCAGGU